CCUCCAGACUCCUACGGGAGGCAGCAGUGAGGAAUAUUGGUCAAUGGCCGAGAGGCUGAACCAGCCAAGUCGCGUGAGGGAAGACGGCCCUACGGGUUGUAAACCUCUUUUGUCGGGGAGCAAAGCGAGUCACGUGUGACUCAUUGAGAGUACCCGAAGAAAAAGCAUCGGCUAACUCCGUGCCAGCAGCCGCGGUAAUACGGAGGAUGCGAGCGUUAUCCGGAUUUAUUGGGUUUAAAGGGUGCGUAGGCGGACAGUCAAGUCAGCGGUAAAAAUGCGGUGCUCAACGCCGUACAGCCGUUGAAACUGGCAGCCUUGAGUGGGCGAGAAGUAUGCAGAAUGCGUGGUGUAGCGGUGAAAUGCAUAGAUAUCACGCAGAACUCCGAUUGCGAAGGCAGCAUACCGGCGCCCUACUGACGCUGAGGCACGAAAGCGUGGGUAUCGAACAGGAUUAGAUACCCCAGUA
This 466-nucleotide ribosomal RNA is filed under the name uncultured bacterium. Its description in RNAcentral is "bacterial SSU rRNA". It matches the Rfam family "Bacterial small subunit ribosomal RNA", at positions 328 to 792 of the family's 1533-position model. The record is from RNAcentral.